CCUACGGGUGGCAGCAGUGGGGAAUAUUGGACAAUGGGCGAAAGCCUGAUCCAGCCAUGCCGCGUGUGUGAAGAAGGCCUUCGGGUUGUAAAGCACUUUCAGUGGGGAAGAAAGCCUUGGGGCUAAUACCCUCGAGGAAGGACAUCACCCACAGAAGAAGUACCGGCUAACUCCGUGCCAGCAGCCGCGGUAAUACGGAGGGUGCGAGCGUUAAUCGGAAUUACUGGGCGUAAAGCGCGCGUAGGCGGUCUGAUAAGCCGGUUGUGAAAGCCCCGGGCUCAACCUGGGAACGGCAUCCGGAACUGUCAGGCUAGAGUGCAGGAGAGGAAGGUAGAAUUCCCGGUGUAGCGGUGAAAUGCGUAGAGAUCGGGAGGAAUACCAGUGGCGAAGGCGGCCUUCUGGACUGACACUGACGCUGAGGUGCGAAAGCGUGGGUAGCAAACAGGAUUAGAUACCCCAGUAGUC
RNAcentral lists this ribosomal RNA (465 nucleotides) under Vreelandella stevensii. RNAcentral describes it as "partial 16S ribosomal RNA". It matches the Rfam family "Bacterial small subunit ribosomal RNA", at positions 338 to 795 of the family's 1533-position model. The record is from RNAcentral. Lineage: Bacteria; Pseudomonadati; Pseudomonadota; Gammaproteobacteria; Oceanospirillales; Halomonadaceae.